UGCAGUCGAGCGAUGAGAUCACUUCGGUGAAGGAUUAGCGGCGAACGGGUGAGGAACACGUGAAGAAUCUGCCUUCAACUCUGGGAUAACUCCGGGAAACCGGGGCUAAUACCGGAUAUGAGCCUUGAUCGCAUGAUCGGGGCUGGAAAGUUUUUCGGUUGAAGAUGACUUCGCGGCCUAUCAGCUUGUUGGUGAGGUAAUGGCUCACCAAGGCGACGACGGGUAGCCGGCCUGAGAGGGCGACCGGCCACACUGGGACUGAGACACGGCCCAGACUCCUACGGGAGGCAGCAGUGGGGAAUAUUGGGCAAUGGAGGAAACUCUGACCCAGCGACGCCGCGUGCGGGAUGAAGGCCUUCGGGUUGUAAACCGCUUUCAGCAGGGAAUAAGCGCAAGUGAAGGUACCUGCAGAAGAAGCACCGGCUAACUAUGUGCCAGCAGCCGCGGUAAUACAUAGGGUGCAAGCGUUGUCCGGAAUUAUUGGGCGUAAAGAGCUCGUAGGUGGUUUGUUACGUCGGUUGUGAAAUUCAGGGGCUCAACCCCUGACUUGCAGCCGAUACGGGCAAGCUAGAGUUUGGUAGGGGAGACUGGAAUUCCUGGUGUAGCGGUGGAAUGCGCAGAUAUCAGGAGGAACACCGAUGGCGAAGGCAGGUCUCUGGGCCAAUACUGACACUGAGGAGCGAAAGCGUGGGGAGCGAACAGGAUUAGAUACCCUGGUAGUCCACGCCGUAAACGGUGGGCGCUAGUUGUGCGAACCUUCCACGGUUUGUGCGACGCAGCUAACGCAUUAAGCGCCCCGCCUGGGGAGUACGAUCGCAAGAUUAAAACUCAAAGGAAUUGACGGGGCCCCGCACAAGCAGCGGANCAUGC
This 870-nucleotide ribosomal RNA is filed under the name uncultured organism. RNAcentral describes it as "bacterial SSU rRNA". It matches the Rfam family "Bacterial small subunit ribosomal RNA", at positions 56 to 942 of the family's 1533-position model. The record is from RNAcentral.